CUGGAGAAAACUCACAAACCUGGACCAAAGUGGAGAUCUCAGAUAUUUUCCUAAAACAUGAAAACUGCUGGAAGACAUUGGUGUUAAAUAGAUUUUAUUCCUGUAAUUCAAUGAUUAUUUUUAAUCUCUAUUCAGUUUCAUUGGACUUGACGCAACAUCAACUGUGAUGUUACCAGUGUCAGUUGUGUCUGUUUCACCCUGUGAUAAAAGGAAAUAAAAUGAUUUAAUGAAAGCGAAUAA
Molecule: long non-coding RNA, 240 nt
Organism: Danio aesculapii
Lineage: Eukaryota; Metazoa; Chordata; Actinopteri; Cypriniformes; Danionidae
Exons: 2
Source: RefSeq, a predicted model, not a curated record